RNAcentral lists this ribosomal RNA (497 nucleotides) under uncultured bacterium. Its description in RNAcentral is "partial 16S ribosomal RNA". It matches the Rfam family "Bacterial small subunit ribosomal RNA", at positions 28 to 507 of the family's 1533-position model. The record is from RNAcentral.
GACGAACGCUGGCGGCGUGCCUAAUACAUGCAAGUAGAACGCUGAAGCGAGGAGCUUACUCUUCUUGGAUGAGUUGCGAACGGGUGAGUAACGCGUAGGUAACCUGCCUUGUAGCGGGGGAUAACUAUUGGAAACGAUAGCUAAUACCGCAUAACAAUGGAUGACACAUGUCAUUUAUUUGAAAGGGGCAAUUGCUCCACUACAAGAUGGACCUGCGUUGUAUUAGCUAGUAGGUGAGGUAAUGGCUCAGCUAGGCGACGAUACAUAGCCGACCUGAGAGGGGGGUAGGCCACACUGGGACGGAGACACGGCCCAGACGACUACGGGAGGCAGCAGUAGGGAACCUUAGGCAAUGGGGGCAAACCUGACCGAGCAACGCCGCGUGAGUGAAGAAGGUUUUCGGAUCGGAAAGCUCUGUUGUAAGUCAAGAACGGGUGUGAGAGUGGAAAGUUCACAGUGUGACGGUAGCUGAUCAGAAAGGGACGGCUAACUACGUG